CAAAAUGGCCUUCAUCCAAAUUGAAAUGUUCACUUUUCCUUUGGGAAAGCAAACAAAGAUUUUUGGAUGGGGAUUUCAAUCGAAUCCUUUCAGAUUCAACAAACGAUCCCACGAUGGCAUUUGCGAAGAACAUCGCUGAGGAAUUGCCGCGAUUUGCAGCACGCGUCGUUACCUACAUCCAAAUCGUCGUCGUCGUCCAACAAAGGAGUCCCGCGUGGCUUUGAAAGUGGUGCAGUCCAAGAACCAAGAACGGGCAAAUCUUGCCACAGUCCUCGGCGGCAAGAACGUUUUGGAUGUCCUCAACGGACGUCGCCCAGGCGACCCGCACCGAUAGGGGGCCCGAAGGUCCUCGCGAGGUGCCGGCGGCGUCAGUGGAAAAAGAGUCCGUCGGCAUAUUUUCCACCAGACGGAAGGAAGGAAUGCGGCCGCCGCUGCUGUGCGGGAACGUUGGAGGUCUUUCCUCACCUUCACGCUUUUUUUUUUUUUUUUUUUUUUUUUUACACACAUCCGUGCCCCCCACCCCCCUCCGUCCGUUCCCUCUGAAAAUAAACCCAAAGACGACGUUUCCGCACGCAACAUCUGGACGACCCGUCGGGGCAAGAUGGCCGCCCGGAGGAAGACCGGCUCGUUCAAGUCGUCCUCGCUAAUGAGGACCUCCCACGUGCCCGCCUCCCUGCUGAGGGCAUCAAAGGGAAACGAGGAGCACGUGCGCGUCGGGUGCCGUGUGGCGCGUCGCCCCACGUUCGGCCGGCGCGGCGUGGCGCGGCCCUGCCGCUUUGUCACACUUUGGUUCCCAUCCUCAAUGUGACUUUGCGUCCUGCCCAAAAACUUUCAGUUUCGUUGAAUUUUUGGCCGGGGGGGGUUAACCGUCUGCGAAGGUUCUCGCGUUCGAGUGCAUGAUGUCCGAAAGGCACCCAGUGUGAAAAUGAACGCGCGCGUGUGGCAUCAAGCUAAUGCGACGCCCAGCUCGUUAGUGGCCGAUUAAUUUGUCUUAACGAGCGUUUUGUGUGGGCGGGCAGCAGUACGGCCGGCGGGGGGGGUCUAGAUAAUACACGGUACUGAUGUGACCUUUCUUCCGGACUUUAAAAACUUUUCUCUGAGGUGAAUUUGACGCUAACGAGAAGGCGCCCGGCUUUUGACGUGUCGUGGCGAAAAGCGGUCGCCCCGUCGUCGCCGUUUCCGACCAGCGCGACGGUGAAACCGCCACAGCGGGACGGAGGCGGAUUAGCGCGGGGGCGGCGCAAUAGGAAGUCGACGAGCUAAUGGCUAAUUGCUAACGGCGGCCCCGCGGCGUUCCCGCCUGACGAAGAUGAGGAGCGAAGCCGUCUCGGCGUGCGUCACGUGACCUUUGACCCCGCGAGGCGCGCUCAUUUGGACAAUUUGACUCGACUUCGUUUGGGAUGAAAAAUCGAGAGUGUGCGUGGAGACGAGUUGCGGAUAAUUUUGUUGCGCGCUCUCUGGAAUUAUGUUGGGAUUGAUUGAUUGAUUGAUUUGUAAGUAUGAAAAGCUCAUGUCAAAUGUUAGAAAAGAAACUUCUGCUGUAUUUGGAUGAAUACGCUGCAGCGAUGUGAACCUGCCCCGAUGGCCAAAAUCCCAAAUUUGUGGAUUAUUGACGCUUUUGCGUUGGCGCCACGCACCAUCGCCGCCAUCUUGUCGCUCAACGCUGCCAUUUUGUUUGUCCUCUGAGACGUGUGGGGGUGGGGGUGGGGGGUCCCCGUCCCGGCUCAUCUUUGCGGCAGAUGUGGACCCGAAGGUGGAAAACUUUUGGGAAUACGAGAAUGCUGGAAAAGGACAUAGUUGGGAAUCAGCCAGCGAGGAGGCCGCCGCUUUUGUUUAGACUGACUUUGAAGCGUCGCCGGCAUUCUUGCGAGCCGCGGACCUUUUCCCUCCUUUCCGUCGGGCAGGUGGCUCGCAGCUACGUCCUCGAGUUCGACGCUUUGGCCAUCCACGUGAUUUGCACUCCUCGUCCGUGUGUGUUUACAAGUUGAAGGCGACUUCCUUGUGGCCGUCGCGUCCUGGGCCACGCCUCCGCGCGCUCAGUUGGCUGCUAACGUCCGGGAAUGUCAUCGGGCGGCGGGCGUUCGGGUGUCUCGGUCCGUCGUCCUUCGUCCUGCCGGUCGAGAACUUUAGCGCGAGACGCGGCCUCCUCGACUUCUUGCGUGCGGCGCAGGACAGAAAACGCGAGUGCGCGCGUCUCACGGGUGGCCUCAGGAACAGGAACAGGAACCUGGACAAGGACCUGCCUUGUCCAAAUAAAGGCUGCCACCGCAGAUGACGACGGAACAUUCUUCUUCUUCUUCUCUUGUUGAUCUCCAACAUGUGCGACUGCGCAACCUGCAAAUGGGAGGGGGGGGGGGGGGGGGCUGGAUCAGGAAUGGAAAAUACCAUGAUAUCUAUAUAGACAUUCAUCGUGCAAAGGACCCCAAAGUCGCAAAGAUGAUUUUUCAUCGAGGAAUCGGACGUACAUCCGCUCCCCGUUUGAACUUUUUGAAAAAGGAAGGAGGCCCGCGAGCCGCUCCCGGACCACGUCGACGCCGUUGCUCCGGAAAGCCGCGGUCGCGCCCCGCCGCCAAAAAGGAGACGCUCGGUGACGCACGCCCAGCUGAUGCACGACAAAGGCCGCACGCUGCAGGACUUCAAGCGCCGCAUGUGGCUGCAGGAACUCCUGGACGAGGUCCACACGGCCGAGAUCCGACAGCUCCCGGGUCUCGAGAC
Molecule: RNA transcript, 2715 nt
Organism: Syngnathoides biaculeatus (alligator pipefish)
Lineage: Eukaryota; Metazoa; Chordata; Actinopteri; Syngnathiformes; Syngnathidae
Gene: pthlha
Gene name: parathyroid hormone-like hormone a
Exons: 3
Source: RefSeq, a predicted model, not a curated record